Armigeres subalbatus is the source of this 484-nucleotide long non-coding RNA. RefSeq lists it as uncharacterized. The record is from RefSeq and is a predicted model, not a curated record. The transcript has 3 exons. Lineage: Eukaryota; Metazoa; Arthropoda; Insecta; Diptera; Culicidae.
GCCUGAGCCAGCUGCCAUGCCAGGAUUUUGGAGUUAUAGAUUUAAUUAUGUUUAGUUUUUUCGUGUCAGUAUACUAUGAAUAUCUGUUCGAAUGGAAAUUUUAAACUCUAUUGGAUCAAAAGAAAAAAAAAGUUCUCUCGGCCGGAGAUUUCAUCAGAUUAACCUCGGAAUAAUCCAUGCUUUUAUUCUAUCGUUGGCGACAAGAAAAAAAUCAACAUCGGGGAAAUAUCGCAGUCGGCUUCCGGAUUCUCCAAGAUUGCUGUCCUGCCUCGCAUUAAGGGCGCUCCAAACAAAUGCGACGCGGCGGUCCCGUUGGUAUGGACGUGUUAAAGAAACCUCACAUGCAGCGAUCUAGUAAUAGGGUCGCGGCAAUUGUCGCCCAGCAACAGCAACAGCGAAGAAUAGAAUUACUUUUUUUUCAUGCGAUGACGAUGGAUUACCUAAUAAAUCGAAUGUGCUAAUAAAAAUAUGAGUUGCAAUGAUA